Molecule: long non-coding RNA, 2806 nt
Organism: Beta vulgaris subsp. vulgaris (sugar beet)
Lineage: Eukaryota; Viridiplantae; Streptophyta; Magnoliopsida; Caryophyllales; Amaranthaceae
Exons: 2
Source: RefSeq, a predicted model, not a curated record
AUCCAGCUAUUGAUACCUUUUUAGCAUAAAAAAAUUUAUAAUGCUUCAUAUUUUUAUUGAGUAGUUUCUCACAAAAAAAAUGCAUAUUUAUAAGUUACUUUCCUUUCCAAAUAAAGAACAUUAAUUUGCGCUCUUCUCUCUACAUACAAUGUACGUCAGUAGUCAUGUCAAGAAAACCUAAAGCUCAGACGAAGGCAGAUUAGGCGGGAUCACCAUCGGAGAAAAGGAACGGACCGAUAUCAAACUCUUAGGCCAAAAAUCUGCAGCCUAUUGAUUCAGUUCUAGGAAUAUCACUCUUAGAAAUUGAAAAUUAUUCGAAAUUUAGGAGGAAAUUAUUUCUCCGAGAUCUUCUGUGCAAUUACUUUAACAACAAGUGGAUUUGAGGGUUAAUUUCUCUGAUUGGCUGGCAAACAAUCAAGUUGGUGAGAGAAUGGCCUCGGAAGAUAGCAGGAGAAUUUUAAUCGGGUCAAAGGCACCAAAUAAGUUCAAGUUCGCCUUUGUGAAGCAUUACGACAUGAUUUUCGAGCAUAUUUGACUCUUCUUCCCAAUCACUUGGACAAUAAGCAUUUAUUUUCACUUGUAACUAUUAUUUAUUUUCAUUCUAAAUUUUUGCUUGGAUUUUUAUUUUGAUGCCCUCUUGUGAGAAUCUUUUGAACACAUUGAUUGAAUAAUUUUUAGAUUGUUGGAGUUUGUGUAUGGUUUUCGUGGUGUGUUUUGGCUCUUGGUACGAGACUUUGGUGUUGAAUGAUUGUUGGGGUUCGAUAUUGUUCUUUCUCUAAACUGGUUUCUGCAGUAAGAAUACGGCAAAUUCUAGCUUGGGGGAGGGAUAUUCUAUCCUUUAUUUGAUUUCUAGUAUAGAUUUUUUUUCCUUUCAUAGGAUGUUGCACGAUUUGUACCACUCACGAGGAGUGGGAGUUUACGUGUAACCAAAAAAAUUGUACUGCUUUCUUAGUUGCAUCUGCAUAUAUCAUCUUAUUUAGACUUCAUCUCAUUUUAGUUGCAUCUAUGGGACUAUUGCUGACACUUUUUGAGAACCUUGUUGAUAUCUUACUACAAUUCAAAAGUGUUACUCAUCAUGUUCAUGAUACUUUAUAGCACGAUUGUUUCGCAAUUGAUUGUUUGUGGUAAGAUUGAUUGAUCUCUAUCUGGCUCGAUUUAACGUUACUAUGCAGACACCUUAACCUAAGUGAGCUUUUGUGCCUGUAAACUGACGUAUUUGUGUCAGUUCUAUUUUUUCAUGUGUGAUUAGUUCCUUGUUGUUGCAUUGAUCUUGACUUUGACUUGGUACUCCUUAAUAUUUGAUAGUGCAUACAUUUUGAUAUGAUUGAGACGUUUCAUUUGAUGAUCUUAGUUCCAAAGUUAUUCUCAUUUUUGUAUUAUACUUCCUCUAAACCCGCUGAGCCUUUUCUGACUUUGUUUGAUUGAUGCCUACAUUACAAGCCAUUGGCCACAUUUGAUUCUUGUCUCAAGCCUAGCUUGGGGGAAUGAAUAUUAGUUUUGGUCUGGUUUGUAUUGGAUUGAAGUGCUCUAUUGGUGGUUUAGAAGGAUGGAAAAAUAUGCUUAGUGAGCUUGGAAAUUGAAUUGAAAGUUUUAAAAAAGGAAUGAAAAAUAUUGAAAAAUGAAAUGAAAAAGAAGUGAAAAAAAAGUUGUGAAUAAAGAGAAACAAAAUGGAUUAUGAUUGAAUUUUUUGAGUGAAAAGUGUAGUUGAUUAUAUUUGGAAAUCGAUGGUUGUUGCAUGGAGUUAUGACCUUUCAUGAUCAUGUUUUUGUUAUAUGAUGCUCCCCCAUAUUGGUUUUCUUCACCACAAUUUCCAAAUUAUUUUCCAUACCUUUAACCUCAGCCCCAUUAUACCCUUAAAAGUCCUAUUGAUCAUUAUGUAUUGUAUUGUUGAGUAUUAAGUGAGUCAAAAAGUCAAAGUUAAAGAGUAGUAUUUGCUUCAUCUGAGUCGACUUGAUUGGGUUGAGUGUCAUCAUUUAUGCUUUAAACACAUGAGAGAUUUGAACGCACAUGACUAUAGUGAGGUUUGUCAGGUUUGGUUAAAUCCAGUUUGAAAGAGAUGAUAUCUGGUAUGAUUAGAGAGUCGAUUGCGAUACAUGACAUGCUAUGCGCCUUUGUUUGAGGUUGUUUUUGAUGCUUAGUUUGUAUUGUGAUUAUAUCUCUCUUGUUUUCAAUUCAGUGUUUAGCUCUGUUGUAGUUCUAUAUUGUAGGUUGUCUUACUUUUUCUGUGUCUAUGUCUUAUUGCUUGAGGACAAACAAUGGUUUAGCUUGGGGGAGUUUUAUAAGUCAUAUUUAUAUAUUGUUUUUAGGUGCAUUUAGGUUGCAUUUUUAGAGCAUUUAGUUUCAUAUUUAGGUUCAUUGUUGCAUUAUAUUCUUAAGUUAUGCUUUUCUACUCCUAUUCAAUACGUUUUCUUAUUUUUGAUGAAUUUUAGGCAUUGAGGACGUAUUUGGAGUAUGAUUAGCUAAACUUGAGGAUUAGGAGCACUUGGAAGGAAGCUACAAUGCAUAAGGGUCGUCAUAGAUAUGUCAUAGUAUGAGUUUGAGCAAAAACAAAGAGGAAAAUCAUUAGAAUAAAUGUGAAAAGGAGUCACGUCUACUCUUCUGAUCAUAACUUUUUAUGUGCUUCUUAGAAUUGAAUAAUUCCAUCAUAUUUAGAAACUAGACUUGAAGAUAUUUCCAAUGAACUUCUAUUCAAGGGGUUAUGCCUUUCGGAAGAUUGCACUGAUCCUGUAGGAAUCUGCCACGCGUACGCGCGGAUCACUAUUCCGCCCAUUUAAUCAUAUAUUCAAAACUUUUCUUAUCUUGUAAA